RNAcentral lists this ribosomal RNA (300 nucleotides) under uncultured eukaryote. RNAcentral describes it as "partial large subunit ribosomal RNA". It matches the Rfam family "Eukaryotic large subunit ribosomal RNA", at positions 40 to 350 of the family's 3401-position model. The record is from RNAcentral.
AUAUCAAUCAGCGGUGGAAAAGAAACCAACUGGGAUACCCUCAGUAAUGGCGAGUGAAGGGGGUCCAGUCCAACCUCGAAAGGAGAAAUCCUGUUGUGGGGUGAUUGAGGGAGUAUGGGGUGUAAAUAUAAGUGAAGUGAGUUGGAAUACUCUACCAUGGAGGGUGAAAGUCCCGUAACUUAUAUGUAGCAUCCCUUGUCUCCUUCUUUCGAGUCGAGCUAUUUGGGAGUAUAGCUCUAAAUGGGUGGUAAAGGACAUCCAAGACUAAAUACAAUGCCAGAGACCGAUAGCGCACAAGUA